CCUACGGGGGGCUGCAGUGGGGAAUAUUGGACAAUGGGCGCAAGCCUGAUCCAGCAAUGCCGCGUGUGUGAAGAAGGCCUUCGGGUUGUAAAGCACUUUUAUCAGGAGCGAAAAGUCUUCGGUUAAUACCCGGGGAUGCUGACGGUACCUGAUGAAUAAGCACCGGCUAACUUCGUGCCAGCAGCCGCGGUAAUACGAAGGGUGCAAGCGUUAGUCGGAAUUACUGGGCGUAAAGCGUGCGUAGGCGGUUUCCUAAGUCCGUUGUGAAAGCCCUG
RNAcentral lists this ribosomal RNA (275 nucleotides) under uncultured bacterium. RNAcentral describes it as "partial 16S ribosomal RNA". It matches the Rfam family "Bacterial small subunit ribosomal RNA", at positions 338 to 605 of the family's 1533-position model. The record is from RNAcentral.